This 443-nucleotide ribosomal RNA is filed under the name uncultured bacterium. RNAcentral's name for it is "partial 16S ribosomal RNA". It matches the Rfam family "Bacterial small subunit ribosomal RNA", at positions 338 to 795 of the family's 1533-position model. The record is from RNAcentral.
CCUACGGGUGGCAGCAGUGGGGAAUAUUGGGCAAUGGGCGCAAGCCUGACCCAGCAACGCCGCGUGAAGGAAGAAGGCUUUCGGGUUGUAAACUUCUUUUCUCAGGGACGAAGCAAGUGACGGUACCUGAGGAAUAAGCCACGGCUAACUACGUGCCAGCAGCCGCGGGAAUACGUAGGUGGCAAGCGUUAUCGGGAUUUACUGGGUGUAAAGGGCGUGUAGGCGGGAACGCAAGUCAGAUGUGAAAACCAUGGGCUCAACCUGUGACCGGCAUUUGAAACUGUUUUUCUUGAGUACUGGAGAGGCAGACGGAAUUCCUAGUGGAGCGGUGAAAUGCGUAGAUAUUAGGAGGAACACCAGUGGCGAAGGCGGUCUGCUGGACAGCAACUGACGCUGAGGCGCGAAAGCGUGGGGAGCAAACAGGAUUAGAUACCCGAGUAGUC